This 253-nucleotide ribosomal RNA is filed under the name uncultured bacterium. RNAcentral describes it as "partial 16S ribosomal RNA". It matches the Rfam family "Bacterial small subunit ribosomal RNA", at positions 524 to 776 of the family's 1533-position model. The record is from RNAcentral.
GACAGAGGGUGCAAACGUUGUUCGGAAUUAUUGGGCGUAAAGGGCUCGUAGGCGGUUUGUCGCGUCGGGAGUGAAAACCCAGGGCUUAACCCUGGGCUGGCUUCCGAUACGGGCAGACUAGAGGUAUGCAGGGGAGAACGGAAUUCCUGGUGUAGCGGUGAAAUGCGCAGAUAUCAGGAGGAACACCGGUGGCGAAGGCGGUUCUCUGGGCAUUACCUGACGCUGAGGAGCGAAAGUGUGGGGAGCGAACAGG